GACGUAGGAUGCAAGCGUUGUCCGGAUUUAUUGGGCGUAAAGAGUUCGUAGGUGGUUUGUUAAGUCUGAUGUUAAAGACUGGGGCUCAACCUCGGGACUGCAUUGGAUACUGGCAGACUUGAGUGCGGUAGAGGCAAGUGGAAUUCCAGGUGUAGCGGUGAAAUGCGUAGAUAUCUGGAAGAACACCGGUGGCGCAAGCGACUUGCUGGGCCGUAACUGACACUGAGGAACGAAAGCGUGGGUAGCGAACAGG
Molecule: ribosomal RNA, 253 nt
Filed under: uncultured bacterium
Lineage: Bacteria
Description: partial 16S ribosomal RNA
Rfam family: Bacterial small subunit ribosomal RNA
Source: RNAcentral